This 108-nucleotide ribosomal RNA is filed under the name Propithecus coquereli (Coquerel's sifaka). The record is from RNAcentral. Lineage: Eukaryota; Metazoa; Chordata; Mammalia; Primates; Indriidae.
GUCCAAGGCCAUACCACCCUGAACGUACCGAUCUCUUCUGAUCUUGUAAGCUGAGCAGGGUUGGGCCUGGUUAGUACUUGGAUGGGAGAAUAGCAGCUGGGAUGGAGG